Molecule: ribosomal RNA, 301 nt
Filed under: uncultured bacterium
Lineage: Bacteria
Description: partial 16S ribosomal RNA
Rfam family: Bacterial small subunit ribosomal RNA
Source: RNAcentral
CAGCCGCCGCGGUAACACGAAGGGUGCAAGCGUUACUCGGAAUUACUGGGCGUAAAGCGUGCGUAGGUGGUGGUUUAAGUCCGUUGUGAAAGCCCUGGGCUCAACCUGGGAAUUGCAGUGGAUACUGGGUCACUAGAGUGUGGUAGAGGAUAGUGGAAUUUCCGGUGUAGCAGUGAAAUGCGUAGAGAUCGGAAGGAACAUCUGUGGCGAAGGCGACUAUCUGGGCCAACACUGACACUGAGGCACGAAAGCGUGGGGAGCAAACAGGAUUAGAUACCCGCGUAGUCCCUGUCUCUUAUAC